Molecule: ribosomal RNA, 535 nt
Filed under: uncultured bacterium
Lineage: Bacteria
Description: partial 16S ribosomal RNA
Rfam family: Bacterial small subunit ribosomal RNA
Source: RNAcentral
UGGGGAAUAUUGCACAAUGGGCGAAAGCCUGAUGCAGCGACGCCGCGUGCGGGAUGAAGGCCUUCGGGUUGUAAACCGCUUUUAAUUGGGAGCAAGCGAGAGUGAGUGUACCUUUUGAAUAAGCACCGGCUAACUACGUGCCAGCAGCCGCGGUAAUACGUAGGGUGCAAGCGUUAUCCGGAAUUAUUGGGCGUAAAGAGCUCGUAGGCGGUUUGUCACGCCUGGUGUGAAAGUCCAUCGCUUAACGGUGGAUCUGCGCCGGGUACGGGCAGGCUAGAGUGCAGUAGGGGAGAUUGGAAUUCCCGGUGUAACGGUGGAAUGUGUAGAUAUCGGGAAGAACACCAAUGGCGAAGGCAGAUCUCUGGGCUGUUACUGACGCUGAGGAGCGAAAGCAUGGGGAGCGAACAGGAUUAGAUACCCUGGUAGUCCAUGCCGUAAACGGUGGAUGCUGGAUGUGGGACCCUUCCACGGGUUCCGUGUCGGAGCUAACGCGUUAAGCAUCCCCGCCUGGGGAGUACGGCCGCAAGGCUAAAAC